Molecule: ribosomal RNA, 497 nt
Filed under: uncultured bacterium
Lineage: Bacteria
Description: partial 16S ribosomal RNA
Rfam family: Bacterial small subunit ribosomal RNA
Source: RNAcentral
GAUGAACGCUGGCGGCGUGCCUAAUACAUGCAAGUCGAGCGAACAGACGAGGAGCUUGCUCCUCUGACGUUAGCGGCGGACGGGUGAGUAACACGUGGAUAACCUACCUAUAAGACUGGGAUAACUUCGGGAAACCGGAGCUAAUACCGGAUAAUAUAUUGAACCGCAUGGUUCAAUAGUGAAAGACGGUUUUGCUGUCACUUAUAGAUGGAUCCGCGCCGCAUUAGCUAGUUGGUAAGGUAACGGCUUACCAAGGCGACGAUGCGUAGCCGACCUGAGAGGGUGAUCGGCCACACUGGAACUGAGACACGGUCCAGACUCCUACGGGAGGCAGCAGUAGGGAAUCUUCCGCAAUGGGCGAAAGCCUGACGGAGCAACGCCGCGUGAGUGAUGAAGGUCUUCGGAUCGUAAAACUCUGUUAUUAGGGAAGAACAAAUGUGUAAGUGACUAUGCACGUCUUGACGGUACCCAAUCAGAAAGCCACGGCUAACUACGUG